This 253-nucleotide ribosomal RNA is filed under the name uncultured bacterium. RNAcentral describes it as "partial 16S ribosomal RNA". It matches the Rfam family "Bacterial small subunit ribosomal RNA", at positions 524 to 776 of the family's 1533-position model. The record is from RNAcentral.
UACAGAGGGUGCGAGCGUUGUUCGGAAUUACUGGGCGUAAAGGGCGCGUAGGCGGUCCUGAUCGUCGGAUGUGAAAGGCCUGGGCUCAACCUGGGAAUGGCAUCCGAUACGGCGGGACUGGAGUGUGGGAGAGGUUGGUGGAAUUCCCAGUGUAGAGGUGAAAUUCGUAGAUAUUGGGAAGAACACCGGUGGCGAAGGCGGCCAACUGGACCACAACUGACGCUGAGGCGCGAAAGCGUGGGGAGCAAACAGG